Molecule: ribosomal RNA, 1237 nt
Filed under: metagenome
Description: bacterial LSU rRNA
Rfam family: Bacterial large subunit ribosomal RNA
Source: RNAcentral
UGAGUACGAGAUGCUACGGCAUCGAAGCAGUCUAUGUCAUACUUCCAAGAAAAGCUUGCAAUGUCAUAAACAAAUAAUGCCUGUACCAUAACCGACACAGGUGGGUAGGUAGAGUAUACUAAGGGGCGCGAGAUAACUCUCUCUAAGGAACUCGGCAAAAUGACUCCGUAACUUCGGGAGAAGGAGUGCCUUAUUUUUAUAAGGUUGCAAUAACAAGAUCCAAGCAACUGUUUACCAAAAACACAGGUCUCCGCUAAGUCGUAAGACGAUGUAUGGGGGCUGACGCCUGCCCAGUGCCAGAAGGUUAAAGAAGUUGGUUAGCAUUAGCGAAGCUGAUAACUGAAGCCCUGGUGAACGGCGGCCGUAACAAUAACGGUCCUAAGGUAGCGGAAUUCCUUGUCGGGUAAGUUCCGACCCGCACGAAAGGCGUAAUGAUUUGGAUACUGUCUCGGAGAGGGGCUCGGUGAAAUAGACUUGUCUGUGAAGAUGCGGACUACCUGCACCUGGACAGAAAGACCCUAUGAAGCUUUACUGUAACUUGAGAUUGAAAUUGGACUUUAUCUGCGCAGUAUAGGUGGGAGACGUUGAAAAUAUUCUUGCGGGAAUAUUGGAGUCAUCAGUGAGAUACCACUCUUAUAAUGUUAGAUUUCUAACUUUGUAUCAUUAUCUGGUCAAAGAACAGUUUCAGGCGGGCAGUUUGACUGGGGCGGUCGCCUCCCAAACGGUAACGGAGGCGCACAAAGGUUUCCUCUGAACGUGUAGAAAUCGUAUCUAGAGUGUAAAGGCAUAAGGAAGCUUGACUGUGAGACCUACAAGUCGAGCAGGGACGAAAGUCGGUCUUAGUGAUCUGACGGUGCUGAGUGGAAAGGCCGUCACUCAACGGAUAAAAGUUACUCUAGGGAUAACAGGCUGAUCUCCCCCAAGAGUUCACAUCGACGGGGAGGUUUGGCACCUCGAUGUCGGCUCAUCGCAUCCUGGGGCGGUAGUACGUCCCAAGGGUUGGGCUGUUCGCCCAUGAAAGCGGUACGCGAGCUGGGUUCAGGACGUCGUGAGACAGUUCGGUCCAUAUCCGGUGUAGGCGUUAGAAUAUUGAGAGGAGCCUUCUUUAGUACGAGAGGACCGAGAAGGACAUACCUCUGGUGUACCAGUUAUCGUGCCAACGGUAAACGCUGGGCAGCCAUGUAUGGAGAGGAUAACCGCUGAAAGCAUCUAAGUGGGAAGCCCACCUCAAGAUAAG